GGAGUAUAUUUAAAAAAUAAAAAUUAAUUUGCAAUUAAAAAUUGACAUUAUGUCUACCCA
Molecule: transfer RNA, 60 nt
Filed under: Mecistocephalus marmoratus
Lineage: Eukaryota; Metazoa; Arthropoda; Chilopoda; Geophilomorpha; Mecistocephalidae
Description: tRNA-Ala
Source: RNAcentral